Molecule: ribosomal RNA, 1244 nt
Filed under: metagenome
Description: bacterial LSU rRNA
Rfam family: Bacterial large subunit ribosomal RNA
Source: RNAcentral
UGAAUACGAGAUGCUACGGCGUCGAAGCAGUCUAUGUCAGACUUCCAAGAAAAGCUUGCACUGUCAAAAACAAAUAAUGCCUGUACCAUAACCGACACAGGUGGGUAGGUAGAGUAUACUAAGGGGCGCGAGAUAAUUUUUUCUAAGGAGCUCGGCAAAAUGACUCUGUAAUUUUGGGAGAAGGAGUGCCUUAUUUUUAAGGUUGCAAUAACAAGAUCCAAGCAACUGUUUACCAAAAACACAGGUCUCCGCGAAGUCGUAAGAUGAUGUAUGGGGGCUGACGCCUGCCCAGUGCCAGAAGGUUAAAGAAGUUGGUUAGCAUUUGUGAAGCUGAUAACUGAAGCCCUGGUGAACGGUGGCCGUAACAAUAAUGGUCCUAAGGUAGCGAAAUUUUUUGUCGGGUAAGUUCCGACCCGCAUGAAAGGCGUAAUGAUUUGGAUACUGUCUCGGAGAGGGGCUUGGUGAAAUAGACUUGUCUGUGAAGAUGUGGACUACCUGCACCUGGACAGAAAGACCCUAUGAAGCUUUACUGUAACUUGAAAUUGAAAUUGGACUUUAUUUGCGCAGUAUAGGUGGGAGGCUUUGAGAAGAAUCUUGUGGGAUUCUUGGAGCCAUUAGUGAGAUACCACUCUUGUAAUGUUAGAUUUUUAACUUUGUAUCAUUUUUUGGUCAAAGAACAGUUUCAGGCGGGCAGUUUGACUGGGGCGGUCGCCUCCCAAACGGUAACGGAGGCGCACAAAGGUUUCCUCUGAACGGGUAGAAAUCGUAUCUAGAGUGUAAAGGCAUAAGGAAGCUUGACUGUGAGACCUAUAAGUCGAGCAGGGACGAAAGUCGGUCUUAGUGAUUUGACGGUGCUGAGUGGAAAGGCCGUCACUCAAUGGAUAAAAGUUACUCUAGGAUAACAGGCUGAUCUCCCCCAAGAGUUUAUAUUGAUGGGGAGGUUUGGCACCUCGAUGUCGGCUCAUCGCAUCCUGGGGCGGUAGUACGUCCCAAGGGUUGGGCUGUUCGCCCAUGAAAGCGGUACGCGAGCUGGGUUCAGAACGUCGUGAGACAGUUCGGUCCAUAUCCGGUGUAGGCGUUAGAAUAUUGAGAGGAGCCUUCUCUAGUACGAGAGGAUUGAGAAGGACAUACCUCUGGUGUACCAGUUAUCGUGCUAACGGUAAAUGCUGGGUAGCUAUGUAUGGAGUGGAUAAUUGCUGAAAGCAUCUAAGUGGGAAGCCCACCUCAAGAUAAGUAUUCUCACC